CCUACGGGUGGCAGCAGUGAGGAAUAUUGGUCAAUGGACGGAAGUCUGAACCAGCCAUGCCGCGUGCAGGAAGACGGCUCUAUGAGUUGUAAACUGCUUUUGUACAGGGGUAAACCUGGAUACGUGUAUUCCGCUGAAAGUACUUUACGAAUAAGGAUCGGCUAACUCCGUGCCAGCAGCCGCGGUAAUACGGAGGAUCCAAGCGUUAUCCGGAUUUAUUGGGUUUAAAGGGUGCGUAGGCGGAUUGUUAAGUUAGAGGUGAAAUGUCCGGGCUUAACCCGGGAACUGCCUUUAAGACUGUUGGUCUAGAGAGUAGAUGCGGUAGGCGGAAUGUAUGGUGUAGCGGUGAAAUGCUUAGAGAUCACACAGAACACCGAUUGCGAAGGCAGCUUACCAAUCUAUAUCUGACGUUGAGGCACGAAAGCGUGGGGAGCAAACAGGAUUAGAUACCCUUGUAGUC
Molecule: ribosomal RNA, 460 nt
Filed under: uncultured bacterium
Lineage: Bacteria
Description: partial 16S ribosomal RNA
Rfam family: Bacterial small subunit ribosomal RNA
Source: RNAcentral